UGCCUUUCCCCCAGUAGUCAAAAGCGUUGCCGUCUCGAGCACAAUAAUAAACAGCAGAGUCUUCAGUCUUCAGACUGUUCAUCUGCAGAUACAGCUGCUGUUUGCUGUUGUCUCUGGAGAUAGUGAACCGGCCUCGAAAUGACUGAGAAUAGUA
Oreochromis niloticus (Nile tilapia) is the source of this 154-nucleotide long non-coding RNA. RefSeq lists it as uncharacterized. The record is from RefSeq and is a predicted model, not a curated record. The transcript has 3 exons. NCBI's taxonomy places the organism in Eukaryota, Metazoa, Chordata, Actinopteri, Cichliformes, Cichlidae.